UACGUAGGGUGCAAGCGUUGUCGUGAAUUAUUGGGCGUAAAGAGCUCGUAGGCGGUUUGUCGCGUCUGCUGUGAAAACUGGGGGCUCAACCCCCAGCCUGCAGUGGGUACGGGCAGACUAGAGUGCGGUAGGGGAGAUUGGAAUUCCUGGUGUAGCGGUGGAAUGCGCAGAUAUCAGGAGGAACACCGAUGGCGAAGGCAGAUCUCUGGGCCGUAACUGACGCUGAGGAGCGAAAGCAUGGGGAGCGAACAGG
Molecule: ribosomal RNA, 253 nt
Filed under: uncultured bacterium
Lineage: Bacteria
Description: partial 16S ribosomal RNA
Rfam family: Bacterial small subunit ribosomal RNA
Source: RNAcentral